CCUCCAACCCUUUCCUAGAUCCUAGAGAUCCCCUAUUCCCGCGAGGGAAGCUACUCCCGUAGCUAUUUUGGACCCCCGCUGGGCCCAAGCAGCGAAGGCCCUUCUCUCGCAGCGCCUCCCUAGAAUCCCGACCUCUCCUACCACUGCCGCGCCCCACCUAGCCGUUGACCCCGGCGGUGUCCACCACGACGCCUGAGUUUGCCGAAGGCGGCACCACUGGAACCGGCGUCCGCAGACGGCUCCUGUCCAUGGGCAGGGUCGACGCAGUUCCUCGACCCCGGCCUAUCUCGCGGUCAUAGGGCGAACCCUAGGUGCCGCCGCCAUGACCUCCUGGUCGCGACUCCUCGCGGCGCCGAUGACCUGUGUCCACUUCGCCUACAGGCCGACACGGUGCACUUCGGCGCUAACACGCGAUGCAGGACGGGUACACACACAAUGGCGCUGAAGGUGUUCCGAAGAGCAUGGUAUUUUUGUGGUUAAACAGGCAUCUGACGCAGGGAAGGGGAUGUGAGCGUUCGCUAACCAUUUAAGCAGCUGCUUUCUUGUUUGCAUGAAAGACGAUAUCAUUGAGGGAAUUUAUGAUACUUUCUCGGAAUGUGCUUCCAUAAGCAAAUCUGUGUCAAUUCACAAUGUUUGAGCUACUGGCAGUUAAAUUCGAGGAACUAAUGGAAUUGUCGCCAUCCUACGUGUUUUCAGUGAUACUGCAUGCUGUGUCGAUCAAGGUGGAGGAAAGAGAAAAGGUAAGUAGCUUCAGUUGGUCGGACCCAAUUUACAUAUUCUUAAUGGUUCUAUCUUUUAGGUGCAUUUGCUAUAUAUUUGGAGCCUUGGCAUGCUGAUAUUUAUGAGUUCCUUGAUUUGAGAAAGAACCAUCGGAAGGUAAACAUUCUAGAAGUAAUACGUAACACACUUCCAGGCAGAGAUACCCGAAACUGACUACCAGUUUGGAUUUACUUUUUUCGCACUGGAUCACCACCCUCAUGCUAUUGAUCUCUUUGUUCAUUUAUCAGGAACAGUAAUUUGCAAUGAGAAAAGCAUUUUAAUUAAUCUGAAUCAAUUGUUUAUGUACAAUUAGUUGUUCAUUUUUUUUUUAUUAUCUCUUGUAUUUUUAGUUGUUCAAGUGCUCCAUAUAUGCUUGCUCACUGUAUAUUGUAAGAGGGUGAUAACAAGAGUGGAUCUCUCAAGCUAAUUAGGCUUGAUGCUUCACACCCGCCGAUACAAUUUGUUUGGUUUGGUAAGGCCCUGAAGCAUUUUACAAACUACAGUUACAAAAUUAAUCUUGGCUUUGUUUUCUAUUCUUUUCGUAGCCAUCUUGUCAGAAUCAUUCAAACAAAAGCAAAAUCCUUUGGCCUACAAGGAAUAGUAAUUGAUAGAAUAUGCAUGGUUCAUGAAUCGUGAUAAGCGACACCUAUUAUCAACCAUUGCUGUUAAAUUUGAGCAUCAACCAAAAUAAGGUGACAUUGCCAAAGUGCAGAGUUUUUCCAAUUCCUCUUUAAUUACCUCUGGUCACGAACCAUUUGGUUUUGAAGUGCGAAAUAUUGCAUUGCGGAUAUCCCUUGUGUAACCGGAGAAUAUUUUGUCUUAUGAGUAGUUUUUUUAUUCCAAACCAUGCAAUUAGAGGAUUCAGAAUUCCUCUCUAGGGGGACCCUCGUUUAUGUCCGUGCUAUCAAUUCUCUUAAUAUUAACGUCUAAGAGAACUUCUCUUGCCGGAAGGGGCAGAGCAAGGAAUUUUAUUAAUGGGGGCCAAUGAAACAUGUAAAGCAUCAAAGGGGCCAUACAUAAGAAUUUAGACAUCAAAUGCAUUAACUCACAUAGCAUUUUGGGGUAACUUGAGAAACUUUUGUAGUGUGGGGGGAGCCAUGGCCCCAGCUCUCCCUUGUUGACUCCGUCCCUGUUGCUAGCCCAAGUCGCAAUUCAUUGUGCUUUAUUUAUCAUGUGAUGUGUAAUGUGAUUACGGUGUCACUGGGCGGUCUGCCUUUUCGUGCAGUUAGCGUGUGUGUGGUCGAAGCGUUGUACACGCUAUUCAAGAAAUCAGUAAUGUUGUGGUACAUGCCGGGCAAGGUUAGUGGAUAAACACCCAUCUCCUUAUUAAAGUAAAAAACAUACGGUGUUGUUCUCUCAGGUGCAUGUUGUGUAUAUGAUGGGUAACGAAUAACAUGAGUUGUGAUGCUUGUAUGUUGACAUGGUGCAGGAGUUUCAGCUGGCACUUUGGUAAGACCGAGAGUUUAUUUGUUGAUCGUGUAAGUCCACAUUGCACGUGUGCACACAUUUGCACUUUAUAUUGUACAAUGAAAAUGUCUCUCUUGUUUUUGCUUCUUUUUUUGUAUUCUAAUGUAAUUACUAUGGAAUCAGUCUCACUCUCAUUUUUGGCAUAUUACUUGGACUUUGGAGAUAAACAACAUACUGCUUAACAUUCUUUAGGGAUCAUAACCGAUCUAUGGCAAAGACAUUUGCCUAAUUGUAGAAUCAUGCAGAUCACUGAUACUAGAAGGGCUUUGAGGCCACGAUUAAGUUGGAAUUUGGUUUUACUUUCUGCGUUAUAUUUCCCAUUUUCAUUACAGGAUUUCACUCCUAUUAUGCCUAUUUUUUAGCAUGGCCUUUUAUGUACUACAUUUCAUGUAGUAAAUAAUGUUUCUGGCCAAAACAUCACCCCUGCAGACAUCUAAUUAGAAGCUUGGAGCAUAGAAAUAAGACUCGCCCUUGAAUAACUUGGUAGGUGUCAACUUGUUUGGAAGCUACCUUCAUGCAUACAAUAAAGAUGAGGCACUCUGGUUUUUUCUUAUCGAGUUGGCGUCAAUGCACGAUUAAGGUGGGGAUGAUGCCUGUAGUAGAACAUGUUGCUGAAGAAUUGUACGCGGAGCUUCUUAAAUGUGUAGUGUUGUGACUCGGGGAAGUUUUAGUAGGACCUAUGCUAAUUUGUAGUCAAAUUGCUUUUAUAUUUUGUGAUAAUGUUUUAUUAUAGCUAGCACCAAACAAUUAUAGUGUUUAUUAAGCGAUUUCCUUCUGA
This is a non-coding RNA of Aegilops tauschii subsp. strangulata, 3004 nucleotides long. Lineage: Eukaryota; Viridiplantae; Streptophyta; Magnoliopsida; Poales; Poaceae. The record is from RefSeq and is a predicted model, not a curated record.